CUAAGGAUGAUCAUAGAAUUUGAGUUCGCUCAAAUCGUUGAUCACUUAGCAACAGAUCUGUCCUUUGCAGAUCUAUAUCGACAGGUUCUUCGGAACACUGUUCGGACCAGGCCGUCCUCAUAUCUCUUCAGUCCAGUAAAAUCAAAGACAGACCACCGGUCUGGUAAGGGUCGGUAGCUCAGGUGGUUAGAGCGCACGCCUGAUAAGCGUGAGGUCGGAGGUUCAAGUCCUCCUCGACCCACCAAGCCGCAAUUUGCGAAGUCAAAUUGUCGGCAGGCGACAGGGUAUUUUGCGAAGCAAAAUGUCCCGAGAGCCAACGGUUCCACGUGAUGGGAAGCGCAGGUUAUUCGCAUGCGAAUGACCGAGAGCGGCUCACAGGAAUUGGUCUGUAACCUUCUCGGCAGAUUUUGCCUUGCAAAAUCGCCUGUCAGGUAUCCGCGAAUUGAACAAUUCGCUUCAGGGGCCUUAGCUCAGUUGGUAGAGCGCCUGCUUUGCAAGCAGGAUGUCAGGAGUUCGAAUCUCCUAGGCUCCACCAAAGCUUUUUCCGCAGGAAAAAGCGAAACGAGCGGCAGAUUAUUCGCGCAGCGAAUGAUCGAGAGCGACCCCAAGGGAUCAAAUCAGCAAGCACUUUCGAGUGUUUGCUCAUUCGAUCCAAUCGGAUGACCCUAAUUUACAUCGUAUAGAGAGAAUACAAUAAACAACACUGUUGGUGCCACAAGUGGGUGGUUGCCUCAGCGGUUCUUCCUUCGGGAGGCGGUUGGAUUGGGUCCUUUUCCUCGGACCUUCUUCGAUAUCGCUGCUGAAACGAUAGUGUUGUCCAAGUCAAGUACACUAACCAAGGUCUGAGAGAUCAGAUCUUAUGUGCUCUUUGAUCUUGGUGAUUGACCGACAUCAAUCGCCAAAUCGUCCUCAAGUAGCCGCAAGGCGGUAGGACACUCAAAGAGCGCGGGAAAGUAUGCUUUUGAUCCGGAUUGUCCCGUCAGGGAUAGGAAGUCAGAUGAACAAAAGGUCUGUCUUCUUC
RNAcentral lists this transfer RNA (1021 nucleotides) under Aliiroseovarius crassostreae. The stretch from base 460 to 532 matches the Rfam family "tRNA". Lineage: Bacteria; Pseudomonadati; Pseudomonadota; Alphaproteobacteria; Rhodobacterales; Paracoccaceae. The record is from RNAcentral.